CAGGGGUGUGCCCAUCGCUCCCACUCUCCAGCCAAGCUAGGGAAGGGCAGGGCGGGAGAGCGGGAAGCUGGGCCUCUUGCUUUUCUUUCACAUUCCCAGCAUGGUAGAUGGGUGUGGACAUCAAUCCGAAGCCCACUUCCUUUCGAGGGAUCAACAGGAUGUCUCAUCACCGCGCAAAUGCGGCUGCCCCUGUUUAACCCCAUCACAGCCUGGUGCUUCAGGAUCCCUCAAAGUCCAGGGUCAAGGCCCAUUCUCUCCCUGGAUCCUGCCUUCCCUGCUCCACCGGCUCCCUUCUCCAGCCCAACUCCAUUCCUUUCAAAGGGUCUUGUUCCCUGGAGCCUGCCAGCACCGAUCCUGUGUUCCCUAGGAGUCCGGAAGAGGUGAGGCACUGGGGAUGCUUCCUGACCUGGCCUUCGUCUCGCUCCACUGUUUGCAGAGCAGUUGUUCUGCUGAGUGGGGAUGGCAGUGCCAGGACUUCUAGCGAGACGGGAGAGGCACAAGGGGAAACUUGGCGGGGAGAGACCAAGGGUGCGGCGGCUCCACGGGGAGUGGAACUUGCAAGAAGAGCACAGUGGUUUAAAGGGUAUUUUUAGGAUGUGCAAUAUGGCAGGCCUGCUCUCACUCAAGAAGACUCUGAGUUAAAUUCACAUGACUCAUCACUGCUUCCAUGCCCUGGGCUGGAGGCCAGCUUCGGGGAGAGAACAGGGAUGGCCUGAGGGAAAGGGCCCUGGCACCGGGUGUAGGGGAGUGGAUGAGGACUAAGACUGGGGAAUCAGACUCUUACACGCUGAUGGGGACUCCCCAGAACCCACUCGUUUAGCUAGACCAAAUAUUAAACAUGUGGGUGAUAUGAGGCAGCAGGUCUCAGAUCUGCUGUCAUAAAGUGGGUCCAAGCAGGAGGAGACCCCUCCUAGGAGAACCAAGUAGAUAAAUAGCCAGGUUGAUAGAAGUGGGGGAAUCUUCCUCUGCUUCAAAGAGGUAAUAAUAAUUAGAUGUGAGCUUGAAAGAUGGGCAGAAGUGACAAAGGGAGACACAAGGCAGAGAGAGGAGCAGAAGCAGGAAUACAGGACACAGCAGACCCUCGAGCUUGGCGGGACACAGGAUCCUGCUCUGCAACAUCCACUUCCUGCUCCCGAUCUCCCUGAAGGGGCUGCUGCUCGUGGGCCUGCUCUGCACUGUGCUGCAAGUGAGCAGUGCUAAGGGGGCCUCCAGGGGGAAAUAAAGUCACAGCCUGAGCCGGGGAACCGCAGCUCCCACACCAUCAACACCCUCAGAGGGGGCAAGCAGAACCUCUGGCCUCCUAUCAGGUAAUAAGCAGCAAUUGCAGUUCCCCAGGAGACAAGGGCCCUGCAGAGAUGAAAUAUCCCUCAUCCUGGCCUCAGGAAUGCAAUCCCACUCCCAGCUGGCUCUGCACAGCACAGGGAUGCCGAAGGGGCCUCUCUGCCUUCUGCCACCUCUGCCUCAGGAGCAGAUAAAAGAAAGGACAUCCCCCUUGCACACUGAUUCCUUGGAGGCAUCUGCAUCUCACCUUCAUGGAUCCUCCCUCAGGCCUCCUUUCCUUGUGGCUCCAGGAUGACCCUGUCAGAGAUAAUGGACUAUCGUUCAGUUGCAGAGGCCCCAGGGCCCGUCUGGACUUUUCCAUCCCAAGAGGGGCUCAGCUCUAUCCCCUUUGUGCCUGUGACACUCUCCAUCCCCCACCCGGCUCAGAACUGGCACAGCCACCACCAACCACUCCUGAUUCAACCCAAGCUUGGCCCUUUCCACCUCUCAAACUGUGCAACAGCAAAUGCAGGAUGCUCAGCCCUCAUGUGUCAGUCCCCCCAAUUCACUUGUAAUUAAAUAACAACACACCUCUUUUUCUAAUUUUCAAAGGUAUAUCUAUUUCCCCUCAAUAAAGUUGUUAG
Molecule: long non-coding RNA, 1904 nt
Filed under: Pan troglodytes (chimpanzee)
Lineage: Eukaryota; Metazoa; Chordata; Mammalia; Primates; Hominidae
Description: long non-coding RNA NONPTRT006921
Source: RNAcentral